GAGAUCGGAUCAGCUGGAGUUGGACGGUGAUGGUUAGAUGACGGCGACAAGACCUAUAAAAAAAAUUUCUAACCGAAGGUGGGUCCGACAGAGAUCCUCCGAUGCUCAAGUUAGAAAUCCGAUAACAGAAAGGAAGAAGUGAGCGUAUUGAGAGAGAGGAGAUUUUAUACCGGAGGAUCCCUCUUUAUUUAUGAGCGAAGGUUGAAGAGCC
RNAcentral lists this long non-coding RNA (211 nucleotides) under Elaeis guineensis (African oil palm). Its description in RNAcentral is "long non-coding RNA (EGUI_LNC000083)". The record is from RNAcentral. Lineage: Eukaryota; Viridiplantae; Streptophyta; Magnoliopsida; Arecales; Arecaceae.